RNAcentral lists this transfer RNA (74 nucleotides) under Pseudoalteromonas ruthenica. Its description in RNAcentral is "tRNA-Val". It matches the Rfam family "tRNA". Rfam says of the family: Transfer RNA (tRNA) molecules are approximately 80 nucleotides in length. The record is from RNAcentral. Lineage: Bacteria; Pseudomonadati; Pseudomonadota; Gammaproteobacteria; Alteromonadales; Pseudoalteromonadaceae.
ACGACCGUAGCUCAGUUGGUUAGAGCACUACCUUGACAUGGUAGGGGUCGGUGGUUCGAAUCCACUCGGUCGUU